Molecule: ribosomal RNA, 621 nt
Filed under: uncultured Clostridium sp.
Lineage: Bacteria; Bacillati; Bacillota; Clostridia; Eubacteriales; Clostridiaceae
Description: bacterial SSU rRNA
Rfam family: Bacterial small subunit ribosomal RNA
Source: RNAcentral
ACGGGUGAGUAACGCGUGGGUAACCUGCCCUGUACACACGGAUAACAUACCGAAAGGUAUGCUAAUACGAGAUAAUAUACUUUUAUCGCAUGGUAGAAAUAUCAAAGCUUUUGCGGUACAGGACGGACCCGCGUCUGAUUAGCUAGUUGGUAAGGUAACGGCUUACCAAGGCGACGAUCAGUAGCCGACCUGAGAGGGUGAUCGGCCACAUUGGAACUGAGACACGGUCCAAACUCCUACGGGAGGCAGCAGUGGGGAAUAUUGCACAAUGGGCGAAAGCCUGAUGCAGCAACGCCGCGUGAGCGAUGAAGGCCUUCGGGUCGUAGAGCUCUGUCCUCAAGGAAGAUAAUGACGGUACUUGAGGAGGAAGCCCCGGCUAACUACGUGCCAGCAGCCGCGGUAAUACGUAGGGGGCUAGCGUUAUCCGGAAUUACUGGGCGUAAAGGGUGCGUAGGUGGUUUCUUAAGUCAGAGGUGAAAGGCUACGGCUCAACCGUAGUAAGCCUUUGAAACUGGGAAACUUGAGUGCAGGAGAGGAGAGUGGAAUUCCUAGUGUAGCGGUGAAAUGCGUAGAUAUUAGGAGGAACACCAGUUGCGAAGGCGGCUCUCUGGACUGUAACUG